RNAcentral lists this transfer RNA (72 nucleotides) under Bos taurus (domestic cattle). It matches the Rfam family "tRNA". From Rfam's summary of the family: Transfer RNA (tRNA) molecules are approximately 80 nucleotides in length. Their secondary structure includes four short double-helical elements and three loops (D, anti-codon, and T loops). Lineage: Eukaryota; Metazoa; Chordata; Mammalia; Artiodactyla; Bovidae. The record is from Rfam by way of RNAcentral. RNAcentral also lists the same sequence under 2 other names.
UCCCUGGUGGCUCAGAGGUUAAAGCAUCUGCCUGCAAUGUGGGAGACCCGGGUUUGAUCCCUGGACUGGGAA